Long non-coding RNA from Gasterosteus aculeatus aculeatus (three-spined stickleback), 672 nucleotides. The record is from Ensembl. Lineage: Eukaryota; Metazoa; Chordata; Actinopteri; Perciformes; Gasterosteidae.
GUGUGGUCCAUGAGGCCCAGAGAUGUGUUGGUGUGGUCCAUGAGGCCCAGAGAUGUUUUGGUGUGGUCCAGGAGGCCCAGAGAUGUUUUGGUGUGGUCCAGGAGGCCCAGAGAUGUGUUGUGUGGUCCAGGAGGCCCAGAGAUGUGUUGUGUGGUCCAGGAGGCCCAGAGAUGUGUUGGUGGGGUCCAUGAGGCCCAGAGAUGUGUUGUGUGGUCCAGGAGGCCCAGAGAUGUGUUGGUGUGGUCCAGGAGGCCCAGAGAUGUGUUGGUGGGGUCCAGGAGGCCCAGAGAUGCGUUGGUGUGGUCCAGGAGGCCCAGAGAUGCGUUGGUGGGGUCCAGGAGGCCCAGGGAUGUGUUGGUGUUCAUGCACGCCUGUCUUAUUGUUACUGUCUGCUGUCACGCACCAACCGCCAAGACAAAUUCCUUGUAUGUUUGACAUAUUUUGGCAAUAAAUGUUUCCUGAUUCCUGAUGACGGACCCUGUAGGACGUGGAUGAGCCCUUCACUAGACUCUCAAGACACUUCUCCAACGCCUUCUGCACGUCUCUGUGAGGCGAUGAUGAGACGGGCCCCCUCAGGUUCUGGUGCUCUCUCGAAGAAAGAACACUUGUAUUAUUGUGUCAAAGAAUUACAACACUUGUUUAGAAGCUAAUCCUCUUUUUCUCUGGGACCAG